UAGGCUAGUCGUAGUCUAGUAGCCGUAGAGAGCUUGCUCCCUGAGAUUAGCGGCGGACGGGUGAGUAACACGUGGGCAACCUGCCUAUAAGACUGGGAUAACUUCGGGAAACCGGAGCUAAUACCGGAUACGUUCUUUUCUCGCAUGAGAGAAGAUGGAAAGACGGUUUACGCUGUCACUUAUAGAUGGGCCCGCGGCGCAUUAGCUAGUUGGUGAGGUAAUGGCUCACCAAGGCGACGAUGCGUAGCCGACCUGAGAGGGUGAUCGGCCACACUGGGACUGAGACACGGCCCAGACUCCUACGGGAGGCAGCAGUAGGGAAUCUUCCGCAAUGGACGAAAGUCUGACGGAGCAACGCCGCGUGAACGAAGAAGGCCUUCGGGUCGUAAAGUUCUGUUGUUAGGGAAGAACAAGUACCAGAGUAACUGCUGGUACCUUGACGGUACCUAACCAGAAAGCCACGGCUAACUACGUGCCAGCGGCCGCGGAAAUACGUAGGGGGCAACC
RNAcentral lists this ribosomal RNA (507 nucleotides) under Peribacillus simplex. Its description in RNAcentral is "bacterial SSU rRNA". It matches the Rfam family "Bacterial small subunit ribosomal RNA", at positions 54 to 539 of the family's 1533-position model. Lineage: Bacteria; Bacillati; Bacillota; Bacilli; Caryophanales; Bacillaceae. The record is from RNAcentral.